Non-coding RNA from Rhizophagus irregularis, 315 nucleotides. The record is from Rfam. NCBI's taxonomy places the organism in Eukaryota, Fungi, Glomeromycota, Glomeromycetes, Glomerales, Glomeraceae.
UGAACGGAAAGCUUGUGUUAGGGGUAAACAUACGGACAAUGAAAUAUAUUUCAUUAGUCCUUUUAAAUAACCCUUGGGAAGGUCUGAGAAAAACUAAAACUAAUCAAGUCUCUAACUGGGACAUUCAUGAGAGUGAGUAAUGAAUAACCAGAAAUGAUAUCCUCUUUGAUUCAAAAUAUGAAGUUUUAAAAACUGAUUUUAAUUGGAUCAAUUGAGUAUUUAAACAUGAUUCAUUAGUGGAAGUUCUAUGAAGCGCAAUACACAAGACAUCACAAUAUUCGUGAUAUAACUCAAUUCAGACUACUCUUCCGUUCG